Molecule: ribosomal RNA, 577 nt
Filed under: Acetobacteraceae bacterium CG91
Lineage: Bacteria; Pseudomonadati; Pseudomonadota; Alphaproteobacteria; Acetobacterales; Acetobacteraceae
Description: bacterial SSU rRNA
Rfam family: Bacterial small subunit ribosomal RNA
Source: RNAcentral
CUACGGGAGGCAGCAGUGGGGAAUAUUGGACAAUGGGGGCAACCCUGAUCCAGCAAUGCCGCGUGUGUGAAGAAGGUCUUCGGAUUGUAAAGCACUUUCACUAGGGAAGAUGAUGACGGUACCUAGAGAAGAAGCCCCGGCUAACUUCGUGCCAGCAGCCGCGGUAAUACGAAGGGGGCUAGCGUUGCUCGGAAUGACUGGGCGUAAAGGGCGCGUAGGCUGUUUGUACAGUCAGAUGUGAAAUCCCCGGGCUUAACCUGGGAACUGCAUUUGAUACGUGCAGACUAGAGUCCGAGAGAGGGUUGUGGAAUUCCCAGUGUAGAGGUGAAAUUCGUAGAUAUUGGGAAGAACACCGGUUGCGAAGGCGGCAACCUGGCUCGGAACUGACGCUGAGGCGCGAAAGCGUGGGGAGCGAACAGGAUUAGAUACCCUGGUAGUCCACGCUGUAAACGAUGUGUGCUGGAUGUUGGGUGANUUUUAUCAUUCAGUGUCGGAGCUAACGCGUUAAGCACCGCCUGGGGAGUACGNCCGCAAGGUUGAAACUCAAAGGAAUUGACNGGGGGCCCCACAAGCGGUG